GAGGGUAUAGCUCAGUGGUAGAGCAGGUGCCUAGCAUACGCGAGGUCCUGGGUUCAGUCCCCAGUGCCUCCA
RNAcentral lists this transfer RNA (72 nucleotides) under Camelus ferus (Wild Bactrian camel). It matches the Rfam family "tRNA". Rfam says of the family: Transfer RNA (tRNA) molecules are approximately 80 nucleotides in length. The record is from Rfam by way of RNAcentral. Lineage: Eukaryota; Metazoa; Chordata; Mammalia; Artiodactyla; Camelidae.